This 462-nucleotide ribosomal RNA is filed under the name uncultured bacterium. Its description in RNAcentral is "bacterial SSU rRNA". It matches the Rfam family "Bacterial small subunit ribosomal RNA", at positions 338 to 795 of the family's 1533-position model. The record is from RNAcentral.
CCUANGGGGGGCUGCAGUCGAGAAUCUUCCGCAAUGGACGAAAGUCUGACGGAGCGACGCCGCGUGCGGGAUGAAGGCCCUUGGGUUGUAAACCGCUGUCAGAGGGGAUGAAAUCUUCGGAGGUACUCCUCCGAAGUUGACAAAGCCUCAAAGGAAGCACGGGCUAAGUACGUGCCAGCAGCCGCGGUAACACGUACUGUGCGAACGUUAUUCGGAAUCACUGGGCUUAAAGGGUGCGUAGGCGGCGAUUCAAGUCAGGUGUGAAAUGCCUGAGCUCAACUGAGGCAUUGCGCUUGAAACUGAAUUGCUAGAGUAUCCCAGGGGUGUGCGGAACUGCCAGUGGAACGGUGAAAUGUGUUGAGAUUGGCAGGAACACCGGAGGCGAAAGCGGCACACUGGGGGAUAACUGACGCUGAGGCACGAAAGCCAAGGGAGCGAACGGGAUUAGAUACCCCANUANUC